GUAGAGACAGGUGGAGAAGUGGAGAGGUAGAGACAGGUGGAGAAGUAGAGAGGUAGAGACAGGUGGAGAGGUAGAGACAGGUGGAGAAGUAGAGAGGUAGAGACAGGUGGAGAAGUAGAGAGGUAGAGACAGGUGGAGAGGUAGAGAGGUAGAGACAGGUGGAGAAGUAGAGAGGUAGAGACAGGUGGAGAGGUAGAGAGGUAGAGACAGGUGGAGAAGUAGAGAGGUAGAGACAGGUAGAGAGGUAGAGAGGUGGAGAGGUAGAGAGGUAGAGACAGGUGGAGAGGUAGAGAGGUAGAGACAGGUGGAGAGGUAGAGAGGUAGAGAGGUAGAGACAUGUGUUGAGGUAGAGACAGGUGGAGAGGUAGAGACAGGUUAGAGGUAGAGACAGGUGGACAGGUAGAGACAGGUGGAGAGAUAGAGAGGUAGAGACAGGUGGAGAGGUAGAGAGGUAGAGACAGGUAGAGACAGGUGGACAGGUAGAGAGGUAGAGAGGUAGAGACAGGUAGAGAGGUAGAGACAGGUAGAGACAGGUAGAGACAGGUGGAGAGGUGGAGAGGUAGAGAGGUAGAGACAGGUAGAGACAGGUAGAGAGGUAGACAGGUAAGAGUGGUAGAGACCGGUAGAGACAGGUUGAGAG
Oncorhynchus tshawytscha (Chinook salmon) is the source of this 640-nucleotide long non-coding RNA. The record is from Ensembl. NCBI's taxonomy places the organism in Eukaryota, Metazoa, Chordata, Actinopteri, Salmoniformes, Salmonidae.